This 47-nucleotide transfer-messenger RNA is filed under the name Desulfobacteraceae bacterium. RNAcentral describes it as "partial transfer-messenger RNA". It matches the Rfam family "transfer-messenger RNA", at positions 327 to 374 of the family's 374-position model. From Rfam's summary of the family: Bacterial tmRNA, also known as 10Sa RNA or SsrA, is named for its dual tRNA and mRNA-like properties. Its role is to liberate the mRNA from a stalled ribosome. To accomplish this part of the tmRNA is used as a reading frame that ends in a translation stop signal. The record is from RNAcentral. Lineage: Bacteria; Pseudomonadati; Thermodesulfobacteriota; Desulfobacteria; Desulfobacterales; Desulfobacteraceae.
AAGUGGAAUAUUUUCGGACGGGGGUUCGACUCCCCCCGCCUCCACCA